Molecule: ribosomal RNA, 253 nt
Filed under: uncultured bacterium
Lineage: Bacteria
Description: partial 16S ribosomal RNA
Rfam family: Bacterial small subunit ribosomal RNA
Source: RNAcentral
UACGUAGGGGGCAAGCGCUGUCCGGAUUUAUUGGGCGUAAAGAGCGUGUAGGCGGCCAGACAGGUCCGUUGUGAAAACUCGAGGCUCAACCUCGAGAUGUCGAUGGAAACCGUCUGGCUAGAGUCCGGAAGAGGAGUGUGGAAUUCCUGGUGUAGCGGUGAAAUGCGCAGAUAUCAGGAAGAACACCUAUGGCGAAGGCAGCACUCUGGGACGGUACUGACGCUGAGACGCGAAAGCGUGGGGAGCGAACAGG